GAUGAACGCUGGCGGCGUGCCUAAUACAUGCAAGUCGAGCGAACAGACGAGGAGCUUGCUCCUCUGACGUUAGCGGCGGACGGGUGAGUAACACGUGGAUAACCUACCUAUAAGACUGGGAUAACUUCGGGAAACCGGAGCUAAUACCGGAUAAUAUAUUGAACCGCAUGGUUCAAUAGUGAAAGACGGUUUUGCUGUCACUUAUAGAUGGAUCCGCGCCGCAUUAGCUAGUUGGUAAGGUAACGGCUUACCAAGGCGACGAUGCGUAGCCGACCUGAGAGGGUGAUCGGCCACCCGGGAACUGGAACACGGUCCAGACGCCUACGGGAGGCAGCAGUAGGGAAUCUUCCGCAGUGGGCGAAAGCCUGACGGAGCAACGCCGCGUGAGUGAUGAAGGUCUUCGGAUCGUAAUACUCUGUUAUUAGGGAAGAACAAAUGUGUAAGUAACUAUGCACGUCUUGACGGUACCUAAUCAGAAAGCCACGGCUAACUACGUG
Molecule: ribosomal RNA, 497 nt
Filed under: uncultured bacterium
Lineage: Bacteria
Description: partial 16S ribosomal RNA
Rfam family: Bacterial small subunit ribosomal RNA
Source: RNAcentral